ACGGUCCUAAGGUAGCGAAAUUCCUUGUCAGGUAAGUUCUGACCCGCACGAAAGGCGUAAUGAUUUGGGCGCUGUCUCGACAAUGUACUCGGCGAAAUUGUAGUACUAGUGAAGAUGCUAGUUACCUGCGACAAGACAGAAAGACCCCAUGGAGCUUUACUGUAGCUUGAUACUGGGUUUCGAUAAUUUAUGUACAGGAUAGGUGGGAGGCGAAGAAGCAAUUGCGCCAGCAGUUGUGGAGUCAUCCUUGGGAUACCACCCUUAAGUUAUUGAAAUUCUAACCUGUAGUCCUGAGCGGGCUAGGGGACAAUGUCAGGCGGGCAGUUUGACUGGGGCGGUCGCCUCCAAAAGAGUAACGGAGGCGCGCAAAGGUUUCCUCAGCACGGACAGAAAUCGUGCGAAAGAGUGCAAAGGCAGAAGGAAGCUUAACUGAGAGACUGACAAGUCGACCAGAUACGAAAGUAGGUCUUAGUGAUCCGGCGGUAGUGAGUGGAAAUGCCGUCGCUCAACGGACAAAAGUUACCCUGGGGAUAACAGGCUUAUCUCCCCCAAGAGUUCACAUCGACGGGGAGGUUUGGCACCUCGAUGUCGGCUCAUCACAUCCUGGAGCGGAAGUACGUUCCAAGGGUUGGGCUGUUCGCCCAUUAAAGUGGUACGCGAGCUGGGUUCAGAACGUCGUGAGACAGUUCGGUCCUUAUCUGUCGCAGGCGAAGGAUAUUUGAGGGGAGUUGACCUUAGUACGAGAGGACCAGGUUGAACUUACCAAUGGUGUAUCAGUUGUCGUACCAACGGCACGGCUGAGUAGCUAAGUAGGGAAGGGAUAAACGCUGAAAGCAUCUAAGUGUGAAGCCCACCCCAAGAUAAGAUAUCCCAUACCGUAAGGUAGUAAGAUUCCACGUAGACUAUGUGGUAGAUAGGUUGGAGGUGUAAGUGCAGUAAUGCAUUAAGCUGACCAAUACUAAUAAAUCGAGGGCUUAACCAC
RNAcentral lists this ribosomal RNA (982 nucleotides) under human gut metagenome. RNAcentral's name for it is "bacterial LSU rRNA". It matches the Rfam family "Bacterial large subunit ribosomal RNA", at positions 1945 to 2925 of the family's 2925-position model. The record is from RNAcentral.